UACGGAGGGGGCGAGCGUUGUUCGGAAUCAUUGGGCGUAAAGGGCGCGUAGGCGGCCGACCAAGUCGGAUGUGAAAUCCCUCGGCUCAACCGAGGAACUGCACUCGAUACUGGUUGGCUAGAGUCCGGGAGGGGAUGGUGGAAUUCCCAGUGUAGCGGUGAAAUGCGUAGAUAUUGGGAAGAACACCGGUGGCGAAGGCGGCCAUCUGGACCGGCACUGACGCUGAGGCGCGAAAGCCAGGGGAGCGAAUGGG
This 253-nucleotide ribosomal RNA is filed under the name uncultured bacterium. RNAcentral describes it as "partial 16S ribosomal RNA". It matches the Rfam family "Bacterial small subunit ribosomal RNA", at positions 524 to 776 of the family's 1533-position model. The record is from RNAcentral.